AUGGCGGCGGAGGUCACCCUGCGCCGCUUCGACCUCUCGGACGUCGACGCCAUGAUGGCAUGGGCGUCCGACCCCGAGGUCGCCGCCUUCUGCCGCUGGGAGCCCGGCUACGUGGUCAGGCGGUACCAGUACCAGUACUGGUGCCGCGGGGAACACCCCGUACUGGUCUACUUCUCCCCGCCCCGCGACGCCCUGCUCGCGUUCCUCCGGGGCACCGACCCUCCGCACACCUGGAUCCGCGCCGUCUGCCUCGGCGGCGCCAUCGUGGGCGCGGUGACCGUGUCGCGCACAGAGGACCGGUGCCGCGCGGAGGUCGGGACCGCGCUGGCGCGCGCGCACCGGGGCAGGGGCACGGCCGCGGCGGCCCUGAGGCUCGCGGCGACCACGGCGUUGGGGGACCUGGAGGGCGUGGAGCGCGUGGAGGCGCUGGUGGACGCGGACGACGCCGCGUCCCGGCGCGCGGUGGAGGACGCCGGGUUCCGCCGCGAGGCCGUGCUGCGGAGCCACCGCGACGCCAGGGACGUGGUCGUCUACAGCCUCAUCUCCACCGACGACGACCCACUCAUCGACUUACCCAGUUCAUGA
This 585-nucleotide ribosomal RNA is filed under the name Triticum aestivum (bread wheat). RNAcentral's name for it is "partial small subunit ribosomal RNA". The record is from RNAcentral. Lineage: Eukaryota; Viridiplantae; Streptophyta; Magnoliopsida; Poales; Poaceae.